CUUUGCUUUUGAUUGCUUAGAUCUGUGCUUUUCGUAGUCUCUUUGUAUUAAGAAACAAGAACCCAUUUUUAAGCGCGCCAGAGAGAAGGUAGUGAGGCUGUUGACUGUGAGUUUGAGUCCGUGUUGAGUAGAGUUCUGUGCGCUUCUGGGUUCAUCAAAACAUAACUUGUCGUUCUGAUUGAUUGCAGUUUUGAUUGAUUGUUGCUUGUUAUAGCUGCUGAAAUAGGUACACUUAUCGUUCCAUCCUGUUCGGGGUUCAUCAAUGUUUACUUGCUGCUCUUUUUCAACGUUGCCUAGAAUUUUCUUUUCGUGUGUCCCCAUAAAAUUCCAAUUGGUGGAGAAGAGCAAUCGAAGAUCAAGGAAACAAUUGGUGUACUGAGGCCUCACUUGACUAGUUCGAUUAGCGCCGUUGAUGCAAUUCAAGAGUUGGAACCAAUGGCAAUAAUGGGCUUCACUGCAGUGCGGGUCAUAGGCUCAAGUUCCGUCAUGCCAAGCUGAGGGAGUAGUUUCCCAGCCAUAGACUCUUUUAUGAGAUUCCAGAAUAGAUGGGAGGAUCAUUUUAGCUGUACAAUUUUUGUUUCUUGACCCUUGAUGUAAUCAGUUCAUGUCAAUCAAUGAAAUUUUAGUUUGCUGCAGAA
Syzygium oleosum is the source of this 638-nucleotide long non-coding RNA. RefSeq lists it as uncharacterized. The record is from RefSeq and is a predicted model, not a curated record. The transcript is spliced from 2 exons. Lineage: Eukaryota; Viridiplantae; Streptophyta; Magnoliopsida; Myrtales; Myrtaceae.